GACGAAACGCUGGCGGGCGUGCAUAAUACAUGCAAGUCGAGCGAAAGUUUUUUCUGGUGCUUGCACUAGAAAAACUUAGCGGCGAACGGGUGAGUAACACGUAAAGAAACCUGCCUCAUAGACGGGGACAACUAUUGGAAACGAUAGCUAAUACCGGAUAACAGCAUAAAUCGCAUGAUAUAUGUUUAAAAGUUGGUUUCGGCUAACACUAUGAGAUGGCUUUGCGGUGCAUUAGCUAGUUGGUGGGGUAAAGGCCUACCAAGGCGACGAUGCAUAGCCGACCUGAGAGGGUGAUCGGCCACACUGGGACUGAGACACGGCCCAGACUCCUACGGGAGGCAGCAGUAGGGAAUCUUCCGCAAUGGGCGAAAGCCUGACGGAGCAACGUCGCGUGAGUGAAGAAGGAUUUCGGUUCGUAAAGCUCUGUUGUUAGGGAAGAAUGAUUGUAUAGUAACUAUAUACAGUAGAGACGGUACCUAACCAGAAAGCCACGGCUAACUACGUGCCAGCAGCCGCGGUAAUACGUAGGUGGCAAGCGUUGUCCGGAAUUAUUGGGCGUAAAGCGCGCGCAGGUGGUUUAAUAAGUCUGAUGUGAAAGCCCACGGCUCAACCGUGGAGGGUCAUUGGAAACUGUUAAACUUGAGUGCAGGAGAGAAAAGUGGAAUUCCUAGUGUAGCGGUGAAAUGCGUAGAGAUUAGGAGGAACACCAGUGGCGAAGGCGGCUUUUUGGCCUGUAACUGACACUGAGGCGCGAAAGCGUGGGGAGCAAACAGG
This 774-nucleotide ribosomal RNA is filed under the name uncultured bacterium. RNAcentral's name for it is "bacterial SSU rRNA". It matches the Rfam family "Bacterial small subunit ribosomal RNA", at positions 28 to 776 of the family's 1533-position model. The record is from RNAcentral.